GAUGAACGCUGGCGGCGUGCCUAAUACAUGCAAGUCGAGCGAACAGACGAGGAGCUUGCUCCUCUGACGUUAGCGGCGGACGGGUGAGUAACACGUGGAUAACCUACCUAUAAGACUGGGAUAACUUCGGGAAACCGGAGCUAAUACCGGAUAAUAUAUUGAACCGCAUGGUUCAAUAGUGAAAGACGGUUUUGCUGUCACUUAUAGAUGGAUCCGCGCCGCAUUAGCUAGUUGGUAAGGUAACGGCUUACCAAGGCAACGAUGCGUAGCCGACCUGAGAGGGUGAUCGGCCACACUGGAACUGAGACACGGUCCAGACUCCUACGGGAGGCAGCAGUAGGGAAUCUUCCGCAAUGGGCGAAAGCCUGACGGAGCAACGCCGCGUGAGUGAUGAAGGUCUUCGGAUUGUAAAACUCUGUUAUUAGGGAAGAACAAAUGUGUAAGUAACUAUGCACGUCCUGACGGUACCUAAUCAGAAAGCCACGGCUAACUACGUG
RNAcentral lists this ribosomal RNA (497 nucleotides) under uncultured bacterium. Its description in RNAcentral is "partial 16S ribosomal RNA". It matches the Rfam family "Bacterial small subunit ribosomal RNA", at positions 28 to 507 of the family's 1533-position model. The record is from RNAcentral.